This 482-nucleotide ribosomal RNA is filed under the name uncultured bacterium. RNAcentral's name for it is "partial 16S ribosomal RNA". It matches the Rfam family "Bacterial small subunit ribosomal RNA", at positions 29 to 507 of the family's 1533-position model. The record is from RNAcentral.
AAUGAACGCUGGCGGCGUGCCUAAUACAUGCAAGUCGAACGCUCCACUCCGGUGAAGAGUGGCGAACGGGCGAGUAAUCACUAAAUAACCGGGCAUCUACAGGGGGAUAACUGAUGGCAACGUGAGCUAAGACCGCAUAGGUGUAGAGAUCGCAUGAACUCAAUAUGAAAAGUGCUACGGGACUGGUAGCUGAUGGACUUAUGGCGCAUCAGCUUGUUGGUAGGGUAACGGCCUACCAAGGCGACGAUGCGUAGCCGACCGGAGAGUGUGACCGGCCACACUGGGACUGAGACACGGCCCCGUGUCCCACAGGAGGCACCAGUCGGGAAUUUUCGGCAAUGCGGGAAACCCUGACCGAGCAACGCCGCGCCAAGGAAGAAGUAAUUCGUUGUGGAGACUUCUGUCAUAGUGGAAGAACGGUGGACAUAGAGAAUGGUAUCCAUGUGACGGUACUCUAUAAGGAAUCCACCCCUUACUACGUC